Molecule: ribosomal RNA, 253 nt
Filed under: uncultured bacterium
Lineage: Bacteria
Description: partial 16S ribosomal RNA
Rfam family: Bacterial small subunit ribosomal RNA
Source: RNAcentral
GACGGAGGAUGCAAGCGUUAUCCGGAAUGAUUGGGCGUAAAGCGUCCGCAGGUGGCAGUUCAAGUCUGCUGUCAAAGACCGGGGCUUAACUUCGGAAAGGCAGUGGAAACUGAACAGCUAGAGUAUGGUAGGGGCAGAGGGAAUUCCUGGUGUAGCGGUGAAAUGCGUAGAGAUCAGGAGGAACACCAGCGGCGAAGGCGGCGCUCUGGGCUGGAACUGACGCUGAGGAGCGAAAGCGUGGGGAGCGAACAGG